Molecule: ribosomal RNA, 462 nt
Filed under: Listeria monocytogenes
Lineage: Bacteria; Bacillati; Bacillota; Bacilli; Caryophanales; Listeriaceae
Description: bacterial SSU rRNA
Rfam family: Bacterial small subunit ribosomal RNA
Source: RNAcentral
UUCGGCUAUCGCUUACAGAUGGGCCCGCGGUGCAUUAGCUAGUUGGUAGGGUAAUGGCCUACCAAGGCAACGAUGCAUAGCCGACCUGAGAGGGUGAUCGGCCACACUGGGACUGAGACACGGCCCAGACUCCUACGGGAGGCAGCAGUAGGGAAUCUUCCGCAAUGGACGAAAGUCUGACGGAGCAACGCCGCGUGUAUGAAGAAGGUUUUCGGAUCGUAAAGUACUGUUGUUAGAGAAGAACAAGGAUAAGAGUAACUGCUUGUCCCUUGACGGUAUCUAACCAGAAAGCCACGGCUAACUACGUGCCAGCAGCCGCGGUAAUACGUAGGUGGCAAGCGUUGUCCGGAUUUAUUGGGCGUAAAGCGCGCGCAGGCGGUCUUUUAAGUCUGAUGUGAAAGCCCCCGGCUUAACCGGGGAGGGUCAUUGGAAACUGGAAGACUGGAGUGCAGAAGAGGAGAG